Molecule: ribosomal RNA, 498 nt
Filed under: uncultured bacterium
Lineage: Bacteria
Description: partial 16S ribosomal RNA
Rfam family: Bacterial small subunit ribosomal RNA
Source: RNAcentral
AUUGAACGCUGGCGGCAUGCCUUACACAUGCAAGUCGAACGGCAGCACGGGGCAACCUGGUGGCGAGUGGCGAACGGGUGAGUAAUGCAUCGGAACGUACCUUUCAGUGGGGGAUAACGUAGCGAAAGUUACGCUAAUACCGCAUAUUCUGUGAGCAGGAAAGCAGGGGAUCGCAAGACCUUGCGCUGAUUGAGCGGCCGAUGUCAGAUUAGCUAGUUGGUGAGGUAAAGGCUCACCAAGGCGACGACCUGUAGCGGGUCUGAGAGGAUGAUCCGCCACGAUAGAACUGAGACACGGUCCAGACUCCUACGGGAGGCAGCAGUGGGGAAUUUUGGACAAUGGGGGCAACCCUGAUCCAGCCAUGCGGCGUGAGUGAAGAAGGCCUUCGGGUUGUAAAGCUAUUUCGGCCGGGAAGAAAUCGCACGGGCUAAUACCCUGUGUGGAUGACGGUACCGGAAUAAGAAGCACCGGCUAACUACGUGCCAGCCGCCGCCGUAA